This 372-nucleotide RNase P RNA is filed under the name Paracoccus aurantiacus. RNAcentral's name for it is "Bacterial RNase P class A". It matches the Rfam family "Bacterial RNase P class A". Rfam says of the family: Ribonuclease P (RNase P) is a ubiquitous endoribonuclease, found in archaea, bacteria and eukarya as well as chloroplasts and mitochondria. Its best characterised activity is the generation of mature 5'-ends of tRNAs by cleaving the 5'-leader elements of precursor-tRNAs. Lineage: Bacteria; Pseudomonadati; Pseudomonadota; Alphaproteobacteria; Rhodobacterales; Paracoccaceae. The record is from Rfam by way of RNAcentral.
GCGGAUGGCCGGGUGACCGCGGGGGCACGCCCCCGAGGAAAGUCCGGACUCCAUGAGGCAACGGUGCCGGGUAACGCCCGGCGGGGGUAACCCCAGGGAAAGCGCAACAGAGAACAGACCGCCUGUGCCAGUCACAGGUAAGGGUGAAACGGUGGGGUAAGAGCCCACCGGGGGGCUGGCAACAGACCCCGCAUGGCAAGCCCCACCGGGAGCAAUGCCGAAUAGGGACCUCGUGCCGGCAACGGCAGCGCCGCCUUGCGCCAGAAGGUCCGGGUUGGCAGCUUGACGCACGCAGUAAUGCGCUGCGCAGAGGAAUGGUCAUCCAGAGGGGCAACCCUUGGACAGAAUCCGGCUUACAGGCCAUCCGCGUGU